AAGUCGUAACAAGGUCUCCGUUGGUGAACCAGCGGAGGGAUCAUUACCGAGUUUACAACUCCCAAACCUAUGUGAACAUUACCUCUAUGUUGCUUCGGCGGAGCCGCCCCGGCGCCCGGAACCCCCUGCGGUCCCGCGGCCCGAACCAAGGCGGCCCGCCGGAGGCCACAAACUCUUCUGUUUUUACAGUUUCUUCUGAGUGUGCCGCAAGGCAGUAUACAAAUGAAUCAAAACUUUCAACAACGGAUCUCUUGGUUCUGGCAUCGAGUGAAGAACGCAGCGAAAUGCGAUAAGUAAUGUGAAUUGCAGAAUUCAGUGAAUCAUCGAAUCUUUGAACGCACAUUGCGGCCCGCCAGAAUUCUGGCGGGCAUGCCUGUUCGAGCGUCAUUUCAACCCUCGAGCUCCCCUUUCGGGGGGGGAGCCCGGCGUUGGGGACCCGGCGCUAACAACGCCGGCCCCGAAAUGGAGUGGCGGCCCGUCCGCGGCGACCUCUGCGUAGUAACAACCACUCGCACCGGGACCCGGGCGCGGCCACGCCGUAAAACACCCCACCUUCCGAAUGUUGACCUCGAAUCAGGUAGGAAUACCCGCUGAACUUAA
Molecule: ribosomal RNA, 600 nt
Filed under: uncultured fungus
Lineage: Eukaryota; Fungi
Description: eukaryotic LSU rRNA
Rfam family: 5.8S ribosomal RNA (bases 232-387)
Source: RNAcentral